AAAGAUUCAUAUUCUGAUCACUAGAUUGUAUGGUUUGAAAGAAAAAUAUGUGUGUUCGUGCUCAUGUUUGUGAGAUAUUCAAACCUAGGAAGAUAUGGAUCCAAAUAAUAAAUAGGUUCUAUGUUAAGCAUGCUGUCCAGGGGAUAUAUGUCAAGCAUUGUGUUGUGAGUUAAUUUCCUUAUCUAUUAUCUUAUCAUGUCCUUGUGUUAUCACGUCCAUGUCUAUUGUUUAUCUUUGUAUUUCACAGAUUCAGUCAAGCCACAGUUUAGUAAAUUCUGGAGUCUGUUGCUUUAUUUUAAGUGCAAGUUAUUUGUUAUAUAUUUGGUUUAAAAAGGCAUGCUGGAUUUUCUAAUAUUUCUUGAGAAUCCUCUCUGUUCAUUUUUUCCACAUGACAGUUUAAUUUUU
Molecule: unclassified non-coding RNA, 405 nt
Filed under: Hevea brasiliensis (rubber tree)
Lineage: Eukaryota; Viridiplantae; Streptophyta; Magnoliopsida; Malpighiales; Euphorbiaceae
Source: RNAcentral